UACGUAGGUGGCAAGCGUUGUCCGGAUUUAUUGGGUUUAAAGGGUGCGUAGGCGGCUUUGUAAGUCAGUGGUGAAAUACGGCAGCUCAACUGUCGAGGUGCCAUUGAUACUGCAGAGCUAGAGUACUGAUGAGGUAGGCGGAAUGGACGAUGUAGCGGUGAAAUGCUUAGAUAUCGUCCAGAACACCGAUAGCGAAGGCAGCUUACUAAAGAGUAACUGACGCUGAGGCACGAGAGCGUGGGGAGCAAACAGG
Molecule: ribosomal RNA, 253 nt
Filed under: uncultured bacterium
Lineage: Bacteria
Description: partial 16S ribosomal RNA
Rfam family: Bacterial small subunit ribosomal RNA
Source: RNAcentral